This 171-nucleotide ribosomal RNA is filed under the name uncultured bacterium. Its description in RNAcentral is "partial 16S ribosomal RNA". It matches the Rfam family "Bacterial small subunit ribosomal RNA", at positions 1322 to 1500 of the family's 1533-position model. The record is from RNAcentral.
GAAGUUGGAUUCGCUAGUAAUCGCGCAUCAGCCAUGGCGCGGUGAAUACGUUCCCGGGCCUUGUACACACCGCCCGUCAAGCCAUGGAAGCCGGGAGUACCUGAAGAUCGUGACCGCGAGGAACGGGCUAGGGUAAUACCGGUAACUGGGGCUAAGUCGUAACAAGGUAUC